Molecule: non-coding RNA, 199 nt
Organism: Meleagris gallopavo (turkey)
Lineage: Eukaryota; Metazoa; Chordata; Aves; Galliformes; Phasianidae
Source: RefSeq, a predicted model, not a curated record
CGCCGUAGCGAGCGGCGUUCCUUUCCCAUCGCCGCUUUUUCUCCGCAGGAAAUCGAUCCCCUUCGCCGCCAAGAUGCCGCGGAUUAUGAUUAAAGGCGGUGUGUGGCGGAACACCGAGGAUGAAAUUCUGAAAGCAGCUGUGAUGAAAUAUGGCAAAAACCAGUGGUCUCGUAUUGCUUCCUUACUGCAUCGGAAAUCA